GGCAAUUUGUACGGGAAAAUGUGAGUGGUGGGUGCUGAUCUACAUUACAAUUUGACAAGGCAAUAUAGGCGCGCUUUCCUCCCUGCUUUAGGACUUUUCAAUUAUAUUUUUGUUUGUGUGGAUGUAAGCAUACGCUGAGCACAGUAUUUUCACGAAUAUUCGUGGUUGUGGCUGUUAGUCAGCAUGUACAGUAGUUACAGUUGAAAUAACUACUAAGGUAAGGAGAUGUUGGUGGUUUGGAUUGGCUCGUCCCCUCCACUACCGGCAUGCCGCUGGUGGUGAUCGAGCUGUGUUGCCCCCAGUGGCCUAACAGGAUAUUCUAGCCACGAUGAGAAUUAUCGACUAGGCUCAGCCGCGUGGUUGGAAUUGAAUCGUUUAUUUAUACUCCAUUGUGUGCGAUAUGUGGAUCACCUGGUCUCAAAAGCUCCUCGGCAGAAUGGAGUGGAUUCGCCUGAUGAUAUACUACUGUUCAUAAAUAAAUAUGAAGGAAAGAAUCACAUUAAAACGUUUCCAGCAAUUGAUGACAACUGCUAGUAGCCAAAACAACAAGAUUUUCCCCAUAGCGCUUACUGCCUUGCCUCGCCUUGCCUCACACAGCAGUCCACCGCAAGUGCACUUCAUUAGCAUGACGUAUCUGCAAGGACAACUUGGACACAGAAUCCAAUGUCACCCGCAGCAAUCGCUGUCUCAACGCCUCUGGCUCCUCGAUCCCAGCCGUAGGCAGAGGAUCACACCGU
Molecule: small RNA, 737 nt
Filed under: Histoplasma capsulatum var. duboisii H88
Lineage: Eukaryota; Fungi; Ascomycota; Eurotiomycetes; Onygenales; Ajellomycetaceae
Description: Histoplasma capsulatum H88 hypothetical RNA
Source: RNAcentral